CAACCAUCCAGAGCGACCGAGAGACCUGGCUCGUCGACGUCGCAGCAACCCCCCGGUUCACCGGGUGCGGGUGCUUCCGCCGGGACCGAUGGAGG
This 95-nucleotide non-coding RNA is filed under the name Nocardia brasiliensis. Its description in RNAcentral is "SAM-I sequence". It matches the Rfam family "SAM riboswitch aptamer (S box leader)". From Rfam's summary of the family: The SAM riboswitch is found upstream of a number of genes which code for proteins involved in methionine or cysteine biosynthesis in Gram-positive bacteria. The SAM riboswitch acts at the level of transcription termination control. RNAcentral also lists the same sequence under 2 other names. The record is from RNAcentral. Lineage: Bacteria; Bacillati; Actinomycetota; Actinomycetes; Mycobacteriales; Nocardiaceae.